AUACGUAUGUCGCAAGCGUUAUCCGGAAUUAUUGGGCGUAAAGCGAGUCUAGGCGGCUUGUUAAGUCAGAUGUGAAAAUGCGGGGCUCAACUCCGUAUUGCGUUUGAAACUGGCAGGCUAGAGUACUGGAGAGGUGGGCGGAAAUACAAGUGUAGAGGUGAAAUUCGUAGAUAUUUGUAGGAAUGCCGAUAGUGAAGACAGCUCACUGGACAGAUACUGACGCUAAAGCUCGAAAGCGUGGGGAGCGAACAGGAUUAGAAACCCCGGUAGUCC
Molecule: ribosomal RNA, 273 nt
Filed under: uncultured bacterium
Lineage: Bacteria
Description: partial 16S ribosomal RNA
Rfam family: Bacterial small subunit ribosomal RNA
Source: RNAcentral